GCACCUGCAAAAUCAGGUGCCGGGAUUGACCUCCUGCCUGACUUUACUGGUAACCCUUACCAGAGACUAC
RNAcentral lists this small RNA (70 nucleotides) under Rahnella aquatilis CIP 78.65 = ATCC 33071. RNAcentral's name for it is "isrK Hfq binding RNA". The record is from RNAcentral. Lineage: Bacteria; Pseudomonadati; Pseudomonadota; Gammaproteobacteria; Enterobacterales; Yersiniaceae.